UUCACUCUCAAUUUCACUUGGGGACCACAAAUUCAUUACAACGUAUUCUUCCAAUCCCACGAAACCAGGGGAGGAAAUUCCACUCUAAUAAAUUUUUCUUCCUCGGUAUCAUUUGACAUUUCAUAAUUUCAAUUCAUUCCCUCAUUCACACGCUUAAAGAAAAUAGAUUUCAUAAGAUAUUUUCCCUCACGCGGGUCUCAUUUCUCAAAACCCCCUCAUUUCACCUCAUUAUUUAAGGAACUACUAUUUCAUUAGAAAAGAGAGGAAUCCAUAGAAAAGUUACUCUACUCAAUUCCAUGCCCAGACCUACACUAAAGCUCUUAUCAUAAGCCUCUCAAACCACCACAUCGGAGCUCUGAGUUAAGGCUGAGUUGAGACCUCUCAUCAGAAGUAACAUUUAACAGCACAACAACCACACACAAGAAGAAGGAUGAGAAGAGGAUUCAGUUUGAAGCAUAAACGAGGAAAGGAGAUAGAUAAAGACAAGAAGUUUUGUACUUAAGGACAUUCAUCGUACUGGAGAUCUUACCGACAUACCAGAGUUUUCACCAUCGCGUCGGAUUCUUUUAAUCUUUGAUUUGGAUUUUUUUAUUGGUAUUGCAUUCCUAAAUGAGGAGACUCUUCGCAAUCUACAAAGUCGAAGGUUGGUACCGUCAAGCCAGUUCCAUUCUUGAUCGAGUUCUUUUGCCUUUUCCCAUGGCUUUUUUAUCCUCCAUCACAAAAGGAAAAGAUACCAUAGACGAAAAGGGACUAGGGUAACCAAAUAAAGAAUAGCAUGGAGAGGGAAACACCUGGAAAGAACCAACAAACUAGUAAGAAGAUAACAGGGAGGGAUAAGCACCUGGAAAGAACCAGAAUAAAAAAUAGCAGACACUACUAUGAAAUAUACCUUUGAAUUUGUUACGGAUCGUAGUUGGAUGAAAGCUGAUAGAUUAGGUCUGGUGUACAAGAAAAGAGUUCUUGAAUUCCUUGAAUUCACGAAACACAAUCUUAUUGGAAAUAAUGUUCCCUUUUAUUGUCCUUGUGUUAAUUGUGGAAAUAUCAAAAAAUUGUCAAAGGACGAAAUAUUACAUCACCUAUGUUGUAAUGUAAUAUGUCAAAAUUAUACAACAUGGACGUGGCAUGAAGAAGUGGAUAAAAAUUGAAAUGUGAUGUCACAAAUGUAUGGAGUUGAUGAAGAUAUGGAUGAUCGACUAUAAGAUAUGAUCAGUGAUAUUGGAGAGUCGUCUUUUUAUGAAAGCUCAUAUUUAUGAUACUUUAUAUAGUGAUAGGAUGCAUAUUUAUAUAAGAGGUGCACAAGUUUUACACGAUUGUCUACAUUAUUAAAAUUGUUUAAUCUGAAGGCAAAAAAUGGAAGUUUCACAAAAUUGUUUGAUUUGUUGAAACAAAUGCUACCAAAAGAUAACAAUUUGUCGGAUCAUUGUUAUGGGUCCAAGAAGAUAUUAUGCACAAUGGGUUUGGAGUAUAUCAAAAUACAUGCAAGCCCUAAUGAUUGCAUAUUAUACAUGAAAGAGUAUGAAAUUUUGGAUCAAUAUCCGGAAUAUGGUGAGUCGCGCUGCAAGUUGAAGGACAACAAUGGUGAUGAAAAUGAUAAUGUUAGCAAGAAGCGAUCUCCUCCUAAAGUGUUAUGGUACUUGUCAAUAAUUUUAAGGUUCAAGAGACUUUUUGUUAAUGCGAAUGAUGCAAAUAAUAUUAGAUGGCAUGCAGAUGAAAGAAAAUGUGAUGGAAACAUUCACCAUCUAGCUAAUUCUUUGCAAUGGAAGAAAAUUUAUUCAUUAUUUAUGGAUUUUGUGCUUGAGCCAAGAAACCUUAGGAUUUGGAUUGCCACUGAUGGAAUGGACACCUUUGGUAAUUUGAGUACUAAGCAUUCUUUAUGGCAUAUUUUUCUCACUAUAUACAACAUAUCUUUUUGGUUA
Molecule: long non-coding RNA, 1916 nt
Organism: Lathyrus oleraceus (garden pea)
Lineage: Eukaryota; Viridiplantae; Streptophyta; Magnoliopsida; Fabales; Fabaceae
Exons: 3
Source: RefSeq, a predicted model, not a curated record